UAUAAGUGCAACCAUAAGUUUCCGCGUCCAAUUUUGAUCAUUUGUCUUAUUUGAAACUUUUUUAUAAUUAGUAUUUUCGUUGUUAUGAGGUGAUAAAACAUGAAUAGUACUUUACUCGUGACUUAUGUUUUUAAUUUUUUAAAAAAAAUUUAAAUAAGACGGAUGGUCAAAGUUGGACGCGGAAAAACCAUGGCUGCACUUAUA
Non-coding RNA from Oryza glumipatula, 204 nucleotides. The record is from Rfam. Lineage: Eukaryota; Viridiplantae; Streptophyta; Magnoliopsida; Poales; Poaceae.